AUUGAACGCUGGCGGAAUGCUUUACACAUGCAAGUCGAACGGCAGCACGGACUUCGGUCUGGUGGCGAGUGGCGAACGGGUGAGUAAUGUAUCGGAACGUGCCCAGUCGUGGGGGAUAACGUAGUGAAAAUUACGCUAAUACCGCAUACGAUCUAUGGAUGAAAGCGGGGGAUCGCAAGACCUCGCGCGAUUGGAGCGGCCGAUAUCAGAUUAGGUAGUUGGUGGGGUAAAGGCCCACCAAGCCAACGAUCUGUAGCUGGUCUGAGAGGACGACCAGCCACACUGGGACUGAGACACGGUCCAGACUCCUACGGGAGGCAGCAGUGGGGAAUUUUGGACAAUGGGCGAAAGCCUGAUCCAGCCAUUCCGCGUGCAGGAUGAAGGCCCUCGGGUUGUAAACUGCUUUUGUACAGAACGAAAAGGUUUCUACUAAUACUAGGAGCUCAGACGGUACUGUAAGAAUAAGUACCGGCUAACUACGUGCCAGCAGCCGCCGUAA
This 499-nucleotide ribosomal RNA is filed under the name uncultured bacterium. Its description in RNAcentral is "partial 16S ribosomal RNA". It matches the Rfam family "Bacterial small subunit ribosomal RNA", at positions 30 to 523 of the family's 1533-position model. The record is from RNAcentral.